UGCAAAAUGGCAUCCCUUUGCAAAAGAGUACCUGAGCAGAGCGGGAGAGGGAGUUCAGCGUGGUAUCUGUUUUGCCUAGGACCUGCGCGGGCACAAGAAUUAGACUUGCACUUGGGGAAGAAACGGGCGAUGGCGGCACCUUCCUUCCCUUCCAGGCAGCUCCGGAUCACGGACUCCGUAGUGUUUCGACUGCAGGGACUUUUGCACGGGCCAGGAGCCUGGCCAGCUGUCACGAAAGGCGUGUGGCUCUCGUUGGAAGAGAGGAUGUGCACAAGUCCGACGGGAACAGUUCCCGAGCAGUGUCAGGAAAUUAUCAGCUGGUGCCAGACCUUCCUCACAUUCCAACUACGCGAUUCUUUGCAGAACGCUCCAACAGUCAGCUGGUUAUUUCACACUAAACCACAUUGUUGAUGUCCAGGAGUCAGUCUAGCCACAACUCCACAAGGAGAGGCAGCAAUCGGUGUCACUGCCAUGUGUGGAUCACACAAGACACUGUCCCCUUUCCCGGUGCCUGAGAUGAAGACAGCAGUGACGGAGGGAGACCGGCUGGAUGGGUUAUGAUGGUAGCAGCAAUGGUCACUUGUCUCCAAAGCAGUGUUGUGAGCGUCUGUUACAGCUGGGAACAUGGUACAGUAAACCAUGCAUCCCUGACCCAAAUAUCUGUGCCCUGGAGCAGGAAGGAGAUGAGGCAAGCAGGUGAAAAUGGCCACAAAGUCGUCUUUCAGUACCUGUGAGGACUGGGUCACAUCCCCCGGCUGCUCGGAGACAAAACAGCUUCAGAGACUCAAGUGUCAGUCAACUGCCGCAGACUUUAAGUCACUGACAAUGCAGACAUGAUCACUGCAUCGGGUUUGCUUUGCUGGGCUUUGCAGGUAUUGUAAAGGUUUGUGGCAAUCCCGCACAGAGCAAGUCUCUCAGCACCACUCUUCCAACAGCCUGUGCUCGCCUCGUGUCUCCCUGUCACAUUUGGUAAUUGCCACGCAUCCCAAGAUCUUUCAUGAUUAUCAGAUCUGUGAUCAGUGAUCUCCGAUGUGCGUGUUCUGGUGGCUUCUGGGAGCCAUGAACGCCACCGCUACCCCCUUGCACGGUCCCCAGCACAGAGCCCCAUGGAGCUGACGGACAAAGGUGUGUGAUCUGCCUGCUCCAGCAAUGGGUGCGUCCCCCAGCUCUGUCCCUCUCCUGAGACACCUCGCUAUUAAACUGCCCAGUUAAGAACCCCGCCAUGGCCCCUAAGUGUUCAAAUGAGAGGACCAGUUGCACGUCCCUCACUUUACGUCAAAAGCCGGACCUGAUCAAGCUCGGUGAGGAAGGAUGUCAUGAUUUGAGGCGGGAGCAAGGCCUCUUGUGCCACAGUCAGCCAAGUUGUGAAUGUGAGGAAAUGUUCUGGAAGGAGCUGAAAGGUGAGCGGUGA
This 1411-nucleotide long non-coding RNA is filed under the name Castor canadensis (American beaver). RNAcentral describes it as "lncRNA (ENSCCNG00000006936.1)". The record is from RNAcentral. Lineage: Eukaryota; Metazoa; Chordata; Mammalia; Rodentia; Castoridae.